UCUCGCAUGGUGGAGUUGGAAGCCGGCCAAAAAGUGAAAGAUCUGGAGGAGGCUCUGUCUACAGAGAGGGAGCGGACCCAGAACAAGGAGGAGAGGUCUUUUUACAGCUUUAGAACAUACCACAACGUUUGCUCUCAUAGCAAUUAAUGUCUCCACGUUUGUCCCCAGGGUACGCCAAACCAUGUCGGCCAGCAAAAAGAGGAAACGUCCGAAGGUCAGAGGCAGCAGGUCACUGUGGAUGAGCAGCAGGUCACUCUGGAUGAGGUGGACUCGUACGGCAAAUAUGUCAGACUUCGCAAUACAGUUGAUGAGGAUCAGAAUUUGGGGAACUGGCAGGUGAAGCUCCAGAUUGGAUCUUCUGCUCCCAUCGUAUUCAAGUUUGCCGCAGAAUUCAUCCUGAAGGCCCACGAGAGUGUCACGAUCUGGGCGGCUGACGCUGGCCGAAACCACAAUCCUCCCUCUGAUCUAGUCUGGGAGACACAGUCCAACUGGGGACCCGUAGGCCAGGUCCACUUUACCUUGAUCAACGCCAACGGAGAGGAAAUAAGGAUGAGCAAAGCCACUGGCGCACGUUUGGAAGAUGAUGAUGGAAAUUCCACUUCCACCGUGGGAUAGAGGAAAUGGAAUUUCGGUUUCUUGUGUGUCUUGACAUAUGAAGGGAUUGACAAUAAAGCAGACUUUGACUUUUGACAUGGUCACAUUAUAAAAAUAUUGUAUAACAAUACAAUUGAAUGGGCUUUUUUUUAAUAAAAUCUGCUCCGAC
Syngnathus typhle (broad-nosed pipefish) is the source of this 763-nucleotide long non-coding RNA. RefSeq lists it as uncharacterized. The transcript has 4 exons. NCBI's taxonomy places the organism in Eukaryota, Metazoa, Chordata, Actinopteri, Syngnathiformes, Syngnathidae. The record is from RefSeq and is a predicted model, not a curated record.